UACGGAGGGUGCAAGCGUUGUUCGGAAUUACUGGGCGUAAAGGGCGCGUAGGUGGUUGUGUAAGUCAGAUGUGAAAUCCCUCGGCUCAACCGAGGAACUGCAUUUGAUACUGCAUGACUAGAGUACGGAAGAGGGAAACGGAAUUCCUGGUGUAGAGGUGAAAUUCGUAGAUAUCAGGAGGAACACCGGUGGCGAAGGCGGUUUCCUGGUCCGAUACUGACACUGAGGCGCGAAAGCGUGGGUAG
This 245-nucleotide ribosomal RNA is filed under the name uncultured bacterium. Its description in RNAcentral is "partial 16S ribosomal RNA". It matches the Rfam family "Bacterial small subunit ribosomal RNA", at positions 524 to 768 of the family's 1533-position model. The record is from RNAcentral.